Acipenser ruthenus (sterlet) is the source of this 506-nucleotide long non-coding RNA. RefSeq lists it as uncharacterized. NCBI's taxonomy places the organism in Eukaryota, Metazoa, Chordata, Actinopteri, Acipenseriformes, Acipenseridae. The record is from RefSeq and is a predicted model, not a curated record. The transcript is spliced from 5 exons.
UAAGAAAUAAAUGAAUGAAACAGAGACUGUCUCGGGACUGUCCGAACAGCAUUCGAACUCGAUUUUCUUGGAGCGGUACGUUUUUCUGGGUACGUGUCGAUGUCAUGCGGAUAGCACAGGGCAGGGACUCGGGGGUAAAGGUUAUUUUUUUAUUACCUGGAUAAUAAUCAUAAUGAAAGAACGAGGAAGCCGUGUUGGGUCCUCGCUGAAAUGAAGGCGACUCACGCAGCAGUUUGGAGUUUCGCUCGCUUUGUGUUUAUUCAUGGUUCACAUGCUGCAGCUGAUGAUGGCCUGUCACUAUAUGAAAACAUCCCACCCACAGUUGCACAGAAAACAGGUAAAAUCAGAAAACAAAGAAAUGCCAAACCAGAAGUCUUCACAGAUUUGGAGUUCUCGGAUGAGUCUCUCUACACCUCCUGAACCGAAUGGCUAGAAUACCAAAACAAGCCGAGAGCUGCAUGUGAUUGAGAUCGACAAGCCAAGCAUACUGUAAUACCUGUAGAGAC